Molecule: ribosomal RNA, 253 nt
Filed under: uncultured bacterium
Lineage: Bacteria
Description: partial 16S ribosomal RNA
Rfam family: Bacterial small subunit ribosomal RNA
Source: RNAcentral
UACGUAGGGUGCGAGCGUUGUCCGGAAUUAUUGGGCGUAAAGGGCUCGUAGGCGGUCUGUCACGUCGGGAGUGAAAACACGGGGCUUAACCCCGUGCCUGCUUCCGAUACGGGCAGACUAGAGGUAUGCAGGGGAGAACGGAAUUCCUGGUGUAGCGGUGAAAUGCGCAGAUAUCAGGAGGAACACCGGUGGCGAAGGCGGGUCUCUGGGCCGAUAUUGACGCUGAGGAGCGAAAGCGUGGGGAGCAAACAGG